UUGGAUUUUUCACCUUUGAUUCAAAUUGAUUCAAAUCAACAUUAUCAUGUGGUGGACUUGACCUUUAAAGAUCAUGACAAAAAUAGUGUAUGUAUUUACAUGGACUUUGUUAGCUCAAUACAUGUAGUUCGAAAGCUCACAGAAAUCAUAGCUCAUUGAAACUACCAACCCAGCCGCCGCAGUCUCUCUCAAGGGGGUGGUGUGUAGUAUCGGAGUAAUUGAUACAUGUAGGUCUUUCUUAAACGUUCAGGGGAUCAAAAACCACUUCACGGAUUUGGAGGAGAGGAGCAAUCAACAAUCUUUGUAAAUUUCGACUCAAGAGAGCAUAAGAGACCAUAAACACUUAUGGCAGGUAUUAAAACCACAGACGGAUCGAAUGAUUUUGAUGGAAUCCUGGUCACGGUUGCAAAAAAAAUCCGAAAAAACUCAGAAAUCGACACUCUGGGAUCCAAGCUUGGAUUUACUCCUGAAGAUGUUCAUGGAUACAUAGCAACCAAUCACAAAACACAAGAAAUUACGUCGGAUGGAACUCUGCAGAUGCUACGGGCUUGGUGUAAAGGUCAAAGAGUUGGUACAGAAAGAGAAGCUUUAAAGACUGCUCUUGAAAAAUCAGGUCAAAUCCGUUUAGCUGAUGAACUCUUUCCAUGAAGUCGACCAG
Lytechinus variegatus (green sea urchin) is the source of this 658-nucleotide long non-coding RNA. RefSeq lists it as uncharacterized. The record is from RefSeq and is a predicted model, not a curated record. NCBI's taxonomy places the organism in Eukaryota, Metazoa, Echinodermata, Echinoidea, Temnopleuroida, Toxopneustidae. The transcript has 3 exons.